This 492-nucleotide ribosomal RNA is filed under the name uncultured bacterium. Its description in RNAcentral is "bacterial SSU rRNA". It matches the Rfam family "Bacterial small subunit ribosomal RNA", at positions 8 to 518 of the family's 1533-position model. The record is from RNAcentral.
AGAGUUUGAUUCUGGCUCAGAACGAACGCUGGCGGCAUGCCUAAUACAUGCAAGUCGAACGGAGAUAGCAAUAUCUUAGUGGCGAACGGGUGCGUAACACGUGAGCAACCUGCCUUAUACAUCGGAAUAACAGCUGGAAACGGCUGCUAAUACCGGAUAAGACCACACCAAGGCAUCUUGGAGAGGUCAAAGCGAAUUAGCGGUAUAAGAUGGGCUCGCGUCCAAUUAGCUAGUUGGUGGGGUAACGGCCCACCAAGGCAACGAUUGGUAGCCGACUUGAGAGAGUGAUCGGCCACACUGGAACUGAGACACGGUCCAGACUCCUACGGGAGGCAGCAGUAGGGAAUAUUGGGCAAUGGAGGAAAAACCUCUUACCCAGCAAUGCCGCGUGAAUGAUGAAGGUCUUAUGGAUUGUAAAGUUCUUUAAUUGGGGACGAAAGGAAUGACGGUACCCAAAGAAUAAGCCCCGGCUAACUAUGUGCCAGCCGCGGC